This is a non-coding RNA of Populus trichocarpa (black cottonwood), 138 nucleotides long. Lineage: Eukaryota; Viridiplantae; Streptophyta; Magnoliopsida; Malpighiales; Salicaceae. The record is from Rfam.
GAGUGACUAUGAUAUUGGCCUGGUUCACUCAGAUCACGACUUCAGAGCAAAGUGUCUUUCUUCUUCUUCUUUUUCUUCUUCUUCUUGUUUUAUGUUCGUUUGAUUUGAUUGAGCCGUGCCAAUAUCUCAGUACUCUUU